AUUGAACGCUGGCGGAAUGCUUUACACAUGCAAGUCGAACGGCAGCACGGGGCAACCUGGUGGCGAGUGGCGAACGGGUGAGUAAUAUAUCGGAACGUGCCCAAUCGUGGGGGAUAACGUAGCGAAAGUUACGCUAAUACCGCAUACGAUCUACGGAUGAAAGCGGGGGAUCGCAAGACCUCGCGCGAAUGGAGCGGCCGAUAUCAGAUUAGGUAGUUGGUGGGGUAAAGGCUCACCAAGCCAACGAUCUGUAGCUGGUCUGAGAGGACGACCAGCCACACUGGAACUGAGACACGGUCCAGACUCCUACGGGAGGCAGCAGUGGGGAAUUUUGGACAAUGGGCGGAAGCCUGAUCCAGCCAUGCCGCGUGAGUGAAGAAGGCCU
Molecule: ribosomal RNA, 385 nt
Filed under: uncultured bacterium
Lineage: Bacteria
Description: bacterial SSU rRNA
Rfam family: Bacterial small subunit ribosomal RNA
Source: RNAcentral